This 518-nucleotide ribosomal RNA is filed under the name uncultured fungus. RNAcentral describes it as "SSU rRNA". It matches the Rfam family "Eukaryotic small subunit ribosomal RNA", at positions 214 to 732 of the family's 1831-position model. Lineage: Eukaryota; Fungi. The record is from RNAcentral.
AUUAAAAACCAAUGCCCUUCGGGGCUCUCUGGUGAUUCAUAAUAACUUCUCGAAUCGCACGGCCUUGUGCCGGCGAUGGUUCAUUCAAAUUUCUGCCCUAUCAACUUUCGACGGCUGGGUCUUGGCCAGCCGUGGUGACAACGGGUAACGGAGGGUUAGGGCUCGACCCCGGAGAAGGAGCCUGAGAAACGGCUACUACAUCCAAGGAAGGCAGCAGGCGCGCAAACUACCCAAUCCCGACACGGGGAGGUAGUGACAAUAAAUACUGAUACAGGGCUCUUUCGGGUCUUGUAAUUGGAAUGAGUACAAUUUAAAUCCCUUAACGAGGAACAAUUGGAGGGCAAGUCUGGUGCCAGCAGCCGCGGUAAUUCCAGCUCCAAUAGCGUAUAUUAAAGUUGUUGAGGUUAAAAAGCUCGUAGUUGAACCUUGGGCCUAGCCGGCCGGUCCGCCUCACCGCGUGCACUGGCUCGGCUGGGUCUCUCCUUCUGGAGAACCGCAUGCCCUUCACUGGGUGUGCC